Molecule: non-coding RNA, 28 nt
Filed under: Homo sapiens (human)
Lineage: Eukaryota; Metazoa; Chordata; Mammalia; Primates; Hominidae
Source: RNAcentral
UUGACUCACACAAUCACAAGAUGAAGUC